Molecule: ribosomal RNA, 1361 nt
Filed under: uncultured bacterium
Lineage: Bacteria
Description: bacterial SSU rRNA
Rfam family: Bacterial small subunit ribosomal RNA
Source: RNAcentral
AUUGAACGCUGGCGGCAGGCCUAACACAUGCAAGUCGAGCGGUAGCACAGAGAGCUUGCUCUCGGGUGACGAGCGGCGGACGGGUGAGUAAUGUCUGGGAAACUGCCUGAUGGAGGGGGAUAACUACUGGAAACGGUAGCUAAUACCGCAUAAUGUCGCAAGACCAAAGUGGGGGACCUUCGGGCCUCAUGCCAUCAGAUGUGCCCAGAUGGGAUUAGCUAGUAGGUGGGGUAACGGCUCACCUAGGCGACGAUCCCUAGCUGGUCUGAGAGGAUGACCAGCCACACUGGAACUGAGACACGGUCCAGACUCCUACGGGAGGCAGCAGUGGGGAAUAUUGCACAAUGGGCGCAAGCCUGAUGCAGCCAUGCCGCGUGUGUGAAGAAGGCCUUCGGGUUGUAAAGCACUUUCAGCGGGGAGGAAGGCGUUAAGGUUAAUAACCUUGGCGAUUGACGUUACCCGCAGAAGAAGCACCGGCUAACUCCGUGCCGGCAGCCGCGGUAAUACGGAGGGUGCAAGCGUUAAUCGGAAUUACUGGGCGUAAAGCGCACGCAGGCGGUCUGUCAAGUCGGAUGUGAAAUCCCCGGGCUCAACCUGGGAACUGCAUUCGAAACUGGCAGGCUAGAGUCUUGUAGAGGGGGGUAGAAUUCCAGGUGUAGCGGUGAAAUGCGUAGAGAUCUGGAGGAAUACCGGUGGCGAAGGCGGCCCCCUGGACAAAGACUGACGCUCAGGUGCGAAAGCGUGGGGAGCAAACAGGAUUAGAUACCCUGGUAGUCCACGCCGUAAACGAUGUCGAUUUGGAGGUUGUGCCCUUGAGGCGUGGCUUCCGGAGCUAACGCGUUAAAUCGACCGCCUGGGGAGUACGGCCGCAAGGUUAAAACUCAAAUGAAUUGACGGGGGCCCGCACAAGCGGUGGAGCAUGUGGUUUAAUUCGAUGCAACGCGAAGAACCUUACCUGGUCUUGACAUCCACAGAACUUUCCAGAGAUGGAUUGGUGCCUUCGGGAACUGUGAGACAGGUGCUGCAUGGCUGUCGUCAGCUCGUGUUGUGAAAUGUUGGGUUAAGUCCCGCAACGAGCGCAACCCUUAUCCUUUGUUGCCAGCGGUUAGGCCGGGAACUCAAAGGAGACUGCCAGUGAUAAACUGGAGGAAGGUGGGGAUGACGUCAAGUCAUCAUGGCCCUUACGACCAGGGCUACACACGUGCUACAAUGGCAUAUACAAAGAGAAGCGACCUCGCGAGAGCAAGCGGACCUCAUAAAGUAUGUCGUAGUCCGGAUUGGAGUCUGCAACUCGACUCCAUGAAGUCGGAAUCGCUAGUAAUCGUAGAUCAGAAUGCUACGGUGAAUACGUUCCCGGGCCU